UGAGGAAUAUUGGGCAAUGCCCGCAAGGGUGACCCAGCAACGCCGCGUGGAGGAUGAAUGUCGUAAGAUUGUAAACUCCUGUUAGAGGGGAAGAAUAGUACCGGUUGGACCGGUAUAUGACUAUACCCUCAGAGAAAGCCCCGGCUAACUACGUGCCAGCAGCCGCGGUAAUACGUAGGGGGCAAGCGUUGUCCGGAUUUACUGGGUGUAAAGGGCGCGCAGGCGGGAUAAAAAGUCAGUGGUGAAAUCCUACAGCUUAACUGUAGAACUGCCUUUGAUACUGUUAUUCUUGAGUUCGGGAGAGAGAGACGGAAUUCCAGGUGUAGUGGUGAAAUACGUAGAUAUCUGGAAGAACACCAGUUGCGAAGGCGGUCUCUUGGUCCGACACUGACGCUGAGGCGCGAAAGCGUGGGGAGCAAACA
This 422-nucleotide ribosomal RNA is filed under the name uncultured bacterium. RNAcentral's name for it is "bacterial SSU rRNA". It matches the Rfam family "Bacterial small subunit ribosomal RNA", at positions 355 to 774 of the family's 1533-position model. The record is from RNAcentral.